RNAcentral lists this transfer RNA (72 nucleotides) under Cavia porcellus (domestic guinea pig). It matches the Rfam family "tRNA". Rfam says of the family: Transfer RNA (tRNA) molecules are approximately 80 nucleotides in length. Their secondary structure includes four short double-helical elements and three loops (D, anti-codon, and T loops). Lineage: Eukaryota; Metazoa; Chordata; Mammalia; Rodentia; Caviidae. The record is from Rfam by way of RNAcentral.
GUGGGUGUGGCUCAGUGGCAGAGCUCGUACCUAUCAUGCACACAGCCCUGGGUUCAAUCCCUAGCACCUCCA